This 249-nucleotide ribosomal RNA is filed under the name uncultured Acidobacteriota bacterium. Its description in RNAcentral is "uncultured Acidobacteria bacterium partial 16S ribosomal RNA". It matches the Rfam family "Bacterial small subunit ribosomal RNA", at positions 1129 to 1377 of the family's 1533-position model. The record is from RNAcentral. Lineage: Bacteria; Pseudomonadati; Acidobacteriota.
AGUUGGGCACUCUGGCGAAACUGCCCCGGAUAACGGGGAGGAAGGUGGGGAUGACGUCAAGUCCUCAUGGCCUUUAUGUCCAGGGCUACACACGUGCUACAAUGGCAGAUACAAACCGUCGCAAGCCCGCGAGGGGGAGCUAAUCGGAGAAAGUCUGCCUCAGUUCGGAUUGUAGUCCGCUUCUGGACUACAUGAAGCUGGAAUCGCUAGUAAUCGCAGAUCAGCACGCUGCGGUGAAUACGUUCCCGG